Molecule: long non-coding RNA, 3639 nt
Filed under: Salmo salar (Atlantic salmon)
Lineage: Eukaryota; Metazoa; Chordata; Actinopteri; Salmoniformes; Salmonidae
Description: lncRNA (ENSSSAG00000115196.1)
Source: RNAcentral
GCUUAGGCUAUACAGGCCCUGUGCUGUAUCUGGAGGUGGUAAUGCUGUCCACUAAUGGUGACCAACCCUGGCCCUGGAGAGCUACUGUAGUGGGUUAUGGAUGGUUUUUUCCCGUAUUUUCUUCAGCCCAGCGCUAACACACCGGAUUCAACUCCUCAAGACCCUCUCCACCAUGAGAUAAUUAGCUAACUUGUUUGUUAGUGCUGGGCUGGAACAAAAAGGCUGCACAACCUGUUGCUCUCCAGGACAACAAUAUCGGUGACCACUGGCAUAGGCCUUGAAUCUGUCUGUCCAGCUCUGAUAGGACAGUAGGUCAUCUUUAGAGUCACCAGGCUUCCACUCGGCACUCUGUGGGGCUUGCCCAUUAUUUCUUCCCCCUAAUCCUAGAGAAGAAGUAAAUUACCUCAUUUGAUGAGUUAUGAUGAGGCCUCCUCAUUCAUUCAAAUCUCAAUGAGAUUAGCACACUCUGUAAUUGAUGAAUUUGAGGGAAUUUUCAAAGGAUUCGCGAGGAUUGCAACGGCUCCGGGGUUCUUUGUGUUUAACACAUUUAUUGAGUUCUAGAAAUUAGACAAUCCCGGGGAGAGCAAUGAAUAAUGUACGCUGGCAACAUUUUUUACUGAAGAGAAGUGACUUAUCGUGAUCAUUUCUGUUUCUUUAUAAUGGAAUUGAGAGGAACCAUGACUAUGCUGUGUCACCACUCAGGGAAGACACACUAGCCCUGGCAGAGUGUGUGUGUGUGUGUGUGUGUGUGUGUGUGUGUGUGUGUGUGUGUGUGUGUGUGUGUGUGUGUGUGUGUGUGUGUGUGUGUGUGUGUGUGUGUGUGUGUGUGCCCGCUUAGCCUAUGUGUUCUCUUAGCCUAUGUGUUCUGUUAGCCUAUGUGUUCUGUUAGCCUAUGUGUUCUCUUAGCCUAUGUGUUCUCUUAGCCUAUGUGUUCUGUUAGCCUAUGUGUUCUCUUAGCCUAUGUGUUCUUUUAGCCUAUGUGUUCUCUUAGCCUAUGUGUUCUUUUAGCCUAUGUGUUCUCUUAGCCUAUGUGUUCUUUUAGCCUAUGUGUUCUCUUAGCCUAUGUGUUCUUUUAGCCUAUGUGUUCUCUUAGCCUAUGUGUUCUGUUAGCCUAUGUCUUCUCUUAGCCUAUGUGUUCUGUUACCCUAUGUGUUCUGUUAGCCUAUGUGUUCUCUUAGCCUAUGUGUUCUCUUAGCCUAUGUGUUCUGUUACCCUAUGUGUUCUCUUAGCCUAUGUGUUCUCUUAGCCUAUGUGUUCUGUUAGCCUAUGUGUUCUAUUAGCCUAUGUGUUCUGUUACCCUAUGUGUUCUCUUAGCCUAUGUGUUCUCUUAGCCUAUGUGUUCUGUUAGCCUAUGUGUUCUAUUAGCCUAUGUGUUCUGUUAGCCUAUGUGUUCUGUUAGCCUAUGUGUUCUGUUAGCCUAUGUGUUCUGUUAGGCUAUGUGUUCUCUUAGCCUAUGUGUUCUGUUAGCCUAUGUGUUCUGUUAGGCUAUGUGUUCUGUUAGGCUAUGUGUUCUGUUAGGCUGUGUUCUGUUAGCCUAUGUGUUCUGUUAGCCUAUGUGUUCUGUUAGCCUAUGUGUUCUCUUAGCCUAUGUGUUCUGUUAGCCUAUGUGUGUGCGCUACCCUGUGAGUGUUUACAGGGCCCUAUACGUACAGUACCCGUCAAAAGUUUGGACACACCUACUCAUUCCAGGGUUUUCUUUAUUUUUACAGUAGAAUAAUAGUGAACACAUCAAAACUAUAAAAUAACACAUAUGGAAUCAUGUAGUAACAAAAAAGUGUUAAACAAAUCAAAAUAUAUUUUCUAUUUUCGAAACUUCAAAGUAGCCACCCUUUGCUUGAUGACAGCUUUAGACAUUCUUUCAACCAGCUUCAUGAGAUAGUCACCUGGCAUGCAUUUCAAUUAACAGGUGUGCCUUUUUAAAAGUGUGUGCCUUUUAAAACAUUUGUGGCAUUUAUUUCCUUAAUGCGUUUGAGCCAAUCAGUUGUGUUGUGACAAGGUGUUCUUAGUGUGGUGCCAGGAAAAUAACCUCUCACUCAACGUCAACAAAACAAAGGAGAUGAUCGUGGACUUCAGGAGGGAGCACCCCCCUAUCCACAUCGACGGGACCGCAGUGGAGAAGGUGAAAGAUUCAAUUUCCUCGUCAUACACAUCACUGACAAUCUGAAAUGGUCCACUCACACAGACAGUGUGUUGGAGAAGGCGCAACAGAGCCUCUUCAACCUCAGGAAGCUGAAGAAAUUUGGCUUGUCACCUUAAACCUUCACAAACUUUUACAGGUGCACAACUGAGAGCAUCCUGUCAGGUUGUAUAACCGCUUGGUACGGCAACUGCACCGCCUGCAACUGCAGGGCUUUCCAGAGGGUGGUGAGGUCUGCCCAACACAUCACCGGGGGCCUCCAGGACACCUAUGUCACAGCACCCGAUGUCACAGUGUUACGGAUACAGGUAUCCUGUGUGAGUAUCCUGUGUGUGUGUUUCUUUUCUCUCCUUCUCCCCUCACAGGUGACAAUCAUCAUUCCCCAAUCAGUCACCAACCAAGACACCUGCUCCUUUUCCCUCAACCAAUCACAUCCCCUUGGUUUAAAACCCAGUCAGUAGUUUUCUCAACAGUUCAAUCUCUCUCUCUGUAGCUUGAUCUCUCUGUGUCAUUCAAACUCUCGCUCUCUCUCUAUGGAUUGAUCUCCCUUUUGUUUUUGCAACUACAUGUCACUUUGUCCAUCAGCCUGUGAGUAUUGUUUUUGUUAAAGUGUUGACUGUUUGUUUGAUGGUGGGAAAAAGGGGUACCAAGACAAGUCACCCAUGGGCAUACAAUACCCGUAGGAAUACUUUAUCUAAGUACACUAGUUAGAACUGGGCGGACCACCAACUGUAUUUUAUUGGUUAGUUAGCUAGCUGUGCUUGAAGCAGGUAGUCUAGCUUAGGGGUGUUUUUGAAUACUUAUUAUUUCUUUCCUUGGGUCUAGCUCAGCCCCUUUUCCCUCCCCCCUUUACCAUGUGUUUAAGCAAUAAACCAAUAGAGUUUGACCGUAAAUUUAAGUGGUAUGCGUUUAUUAGUUCUCACUGUUUCUUUUCACUAUUAUGAUUUGCAUGAGUUAUGUUACGGGUCUCGUUUCCACCUCCCCUAGACUGCAGGACCAAAGGGAUUCGUAACACACAGGAAGGCAAAAAAGAUAAUCAAGGACAACAACCACCCAAGCCACUGCCUGUUCACCCUGCUAUCAUCCAGAAGGUGAGGUCAUCAAAGCUGGGACCGAGAGACUUAAAAAAAACGCUUCUAUCUUAAAUAGCCAUCACCAGCACAUAGAGGCUGCUGCCUAUAUACAUAGACUUGAAAUCAUUGGCCACUUUAAUAAAUGGAACACUAGUCACUUUAAUAAUGUCCACAUAUCUUGCACACACAUUAACAAUCUCAUAUGUAUAUACUCGAUUCUAUACUAUUCUACUAUAUCUUAUUCUAUGCCGCUCUGACAUUGCUCAUCCAUAUACUUUUAUAUUCUUAAUUCCAUUCCUUUACUAGAUGUGUGUUUUAGGUAUACAGUGGCUUGCAAAAGUAUUCACCCCCUUGGCAUUUUUCCUGUUUUGUUGCCUUACAACCUGGAGUUAAAAUAGAUUUUUGGGGGGGUUGUAUCAUUUGAUUUAC